GCCCUACCAGCAGUUCUUAUGUUAAAGUAUGCAGAGACUUUUAUUUUGCCUAUUGUUUACACCCCACACUGUAGCUGCAGGAAAUCUGUAGAGAGGAGAAGAAGAAAAAGUUAGACAGCAUGGUUAUAAGCAGCAUGGAAGUUUGUUGUUGUGCUCCCCCUUCUGUGUAGUUGUUCAAAGGCAUUCUCUUUUCACAAUUUUCCAUAUAAAGAGUCAACUUCA
Long non-coding RNA from Neoarius graeffei (lesser salmon catfish), 222 nucleotides. RefSeq lists it as uncharacterized. The transcript is spliced from 2 exons. The record is from RefSeq and is a predicted model, not a curated record. Lineage: Eukaryota; Metazoa; Chordata; Actinopteri; Siluriformes; Ariidae.